Long non-coding RNA from Zonotrichia leucophrys gambelii, 860 nucleotides. RefSeq lists it as uncharacterized. The record is from RefSeq and is a predicted model, not a curated record. The transcript has 2 exons. NCBI's taxonomy places the organism in Eukaryota, Metazoa, Chordata, Aves, Passeriformes, Passerellidae.
GGACGGGGGAGCCGCCCGCCCGCCCGCCUGCCUGCCUGCUCUCCCUCGCUUUCCGCCUCUCCCCCCGUCGGGCUGGUGGACGAGAGCUGCCGGGACUCUCUGUUUAAAAAGGGGCGGGCUCCAUAGAUCAAGCCCGCCCUCCUCUGCUCCCCACCUUCCAAUGACACUUUCUUUUUUCAUUGCCGGCGAGAGCCGAAGUCGCAGGUUUUGGUCAAGAAAACCAUCGCUGGAGCGGACGGGGGGAGUCCGAGCCGCGGCUUCGUACACCCGGGAUCGGCGCCCGCUCCCCGCCGGCUCCGUCCAAAAAGCUUUAAAAUCCCAAAGUAGCCCAGGCAGAGCGGCACCGGAGCUGCCUGCUCUGCCAGGACCUGGCGGCUUGAAGAAGUGGACCAGCAGUUGAAGAAUCCCCUGUGCGGCACUUCUUAUAGCAGUUGUUUUCUUAGGCAUUUCUCAGAUAAGAGGCAAUUCAAGCAACUUUUGUUCAGGAUGAGAUUUGUGUUGUGCACUUUUCAGGCACCCUGAGGGAAAAGGAAGAUUAUAUCCAAAACUGAGUUUAUUUUGUUUUGUUUUACAGUUUGAAAGGUCUCUAAAAAUUUAAGACAUGCUUUAGAGCUACAUAUAAUUAAGUGUUGUCUUCUACCCCUUCCUCAAAUCAAAACCCCCAGCCUUGGUUUAAAAGGUUUUUAAACCUUUAAAACAUAUGAGCAAGGCAAAUGAGAAGUUUGGAAGUUCAGUUUGCACUUCCAUAGAAAAUGUCAAAGUUCUUUACAUUCUUCGCUCAACUUUGGGACAAGGCACAGAAAUGUUGGUAUUUCCUGCAGAAGGGGAAAGUUUUAAAAUAAAAAUCAAUUUAGAAUCCA